GACGAACGCUGGCGGCGUGCUUAACACAUGCAAGUCGAACGGAAAGGCCCUGCUUUUGUGGGGUGCUCGAGUGGCGAACGGGUGAGUAACACGUGAGUAACCUGCCCUUGACUUUGGGAUAACUUCAGGAAACUGGGGCUAAUACCGGAUAGGAGCUCCUGCUGCAUGGUGGGGGUUGGAAAGUUUCGGCGGUUGGGGAUGGACUCGCGGCUUAUCAGCUUGUUGGUGGGGUAGUGGCUUACCAAGGCUUUGACGGGUAGCCGGCCUGAGAGGGUGACCGGCCACAUUGGGACUGAGAUACGGCCCAGACUCCUACGGGAGGCAGCAGUGGGGAAUAUUGCACAAUGGGCGGAAGCCUGAUGCAGCAACGCCGCGUGCGGGAUGACGGCCUUCGGGUUGUAAACCGCUUUCGCCUGUGACGAAGCGUGAGUGACGGUAAUGGGUAAAGAAGCACCGGCUAACUACGUGCCAGCAGCCGCGGUGAUACGUAGGGGGCGAGCGUUGUCCGGAUUUAUUGGGCGUAAAGGGCUCGUAGGUGGUUGAUCGCGUCGGAAGUGUAAUCUUGGGGCUUAACCCUGAGCGUGCUUUCGAUACGGGUUGACUUGAGGAAGGUAGGGGAGAAUGGAAUUCCUGGUGGAGCGGUGGAAUGCGCAGAUAUCAGGAGGAACACCAGUGGCGAAGGCGGUUCUCUGGGCCUUUCCUGACGCUGAGGAGCGAAAGCGUGGGGAGCGAACAGGCUUAGAUACCCUGGUAGUCCACGCUGUAAACGGUGGGUACUAGGUGUGGGGUCCAUUCCACGGGUUCCGUGCCGUAGCUAACGCUUUAAGUACCCCGCCUGGGGAGUACGGCCGCAAGGCUAAAACUCAAAGGAAUUGACGGGGCCCCGCACAAGCGGCGGAGCAUGCGGAUUAAUUCGAUGCAACGCGUAGAACCUUACCUGGGUUUGACAUGGAUCGGGAGCGCUCAGAGAUGGGUGUGCCUCUUUUGGGGUCGGUUCACAGGUGGUGCAUGGCUGUCGUCAGCUCGUGUCGUGAGAUGUUGGGUUAAGUCCCGCAACGAGCGCAACCCUUGUUCACUGUUGCCAGCACGUUAUGGUGGGGACUCAGUGGAGACCGCCGGGGUCAACUCGGAGGAAGGUGGGGAUGACGUCAAGUCAUCAUGCCCCUUAUGUCCAGGGCUUCACGCAUGCUACAAUGGCUGGUACAGAGAGUGGCGAGCCUGUGAGGGUGAGCGAAUCUCGGAAAGCCGGUCUCAGUUCGGAUUGGGGUCUGCAACUCGACCUCAUGAAGUCGGAGUCGCUAGUAAUCGCAGAUCAGCAACGCUGCGGUGAAUACGUUCCCGGG
This 1343-nucleotide ribosomal RNA is filed under the name uncultured bacterium. RNAcentral describes it as "16S ribosomal RNA". It matches the Rfam family "Bacterial small subunit ribosomal RNA", at positions 28 to 1378 of the family's 1533-position model. The record is from RNAcentral.